RNAcentral lists this ribosomal RNA (546 nucleotides) under Ceramium sp. LLG-2014. RNAcentral's name for it is "eukaryotic LSU rRNA". It matches the Rfam family "Eukaryotic large subunit ribosomal RNA", at positions 338 to 952 of the family's 3401-position model. The record is from RNAcentral. Lineage: Eukaryota; Rhodophyta; Florideophyceae; Ceramiales; Ceramiaceae.
UAGCAAAAAAGUACCGUGAGGGAAAGAUGAAAAGCACUUUGAAAAGAGAGUGAAAAGAACCUGAAACCAUUCUGUGGGAAGCGUAUUGCAUCACAAUGAGAGACGUUUGCAUGUUCAACCUUUCGGGGUGCAUUCAUGUAGAGGUCUAUCUGUCGUGGGCUUGUGGGCAGUCGAUUUUUAUUUUGGGCUGCCUCAGGCUGAGGGCUCCGCGAAAGCGUUGAGGACGGCAGAGGGACGAUGCGAUUCGACCCGUCUUGAAACACGGACCAAGGAGUCUAGCACAUCUGCGAGUCAAAGGGUGUUUAAACCCCAGGGCGCAGUGAAAGCAAAUUUGUUCCAUAAAACGAGCAGUUUGAGGCGGCAUACGAUCGUUGAUUGUAAGUCUGACCUAGAGCAAAUGUGCUGGGACCCGAAAGAUGGUGAACUAUGCCGGAGUAGGGCGAAGCCAGAGGAAACUCUGGUGGAGGCUCGUAGCGGUGCUGACGUGCAAAUCGCUCGUCCAACUCGGGUAUAGGGGCGAAAGACUAAUCGAACCAUCUAGUAGCU